RNAcentral lists this ribosomal RNA (305 nucleotides) under uncultured bacterium. RNAcentral describes it as "bacterial SSU rRNA". It matches the Rfam family "Bacterial small subunit ribosomal RNA", at positions 331 to 655 of the family's 1533-position model. The record is from RNAcentral.
CCGCGCCUACGGGACGCAGCAGUGGGGAAUAUUGCACAAUGGGGGAAACCCUGAUGCAGCGACGCCGCGUGAAGGAAGAAGUAUUUCGGUAUGUAAACUUCUAUCAGCAGGGAAGAAAAUGACGGUACCUGACUAAGAAGCCCCGGCUAACUACGUGCCAGCAGCCGCGGUAAUACGUAGGGGGCAAGCGUUAUCCGGAUUUACUGGGUGUAAAGGGAGCGUAGGCGGUUUAGCAAGUCCGAAGUGAAAGCCCGGGGCUCAACUCCGGGACUGCUUUUGAACCCGUUGAACUAGCUUGCAGGAGG